Molecule: long non-coding RNA, 485 nt
Organism: Amphibalanus amphitrite
Lineage: Eukaryota; Metazoa; Arthropoda; Thecostraca; Balanomorpha; Balanidae
Exons: 2
Source: RefSeq, a predicted model, not a curated record
CGUUCCGAGUUGGGUGGGGUGAGAGAUAUAAACAGGGGGAGCCGGGGACUUCGACAGACACACCCUCAGCUCACAGCAGCUCACGCAGCUCAGCUCAGCUCAGCUCAGACAAGAUGAACGCCAAGACUCUGAUGGUUCUGUUUGCCGUGCUCGCCGUCCUCGGCGCCGUAGCCUCCGCCGCGCCGGGCUACCCCUACGGCUACGGCUACAGCUACAGCCAUGGACACGGCCCGUACUACGGCUACGCCCGUCCGUACGGAUACGGACCGCACUACGGCUACCGGGCCCAUCCGUACGGGUACGGAUACAGUCACUACGGAUACCACUAAGACGGUCAACACACUGCUCACUGGACGACGGUACACGACAGCUAUAAUCACUGCCGAGAAAUGGGAACUGGAGAAACGGACUUUUGCGGAUGUCGCAAGAAGGCGCAGCUGAUGCCGAAUGGUGUUCAUUUUUGUGCAAAGGAACGAUCUGGUGUG